AAAACUUAAUAUUUCAUAUGUUUGCUUAAUUCAUGUUGUUUGUUUUAAGCACUAAGAGGGAAACAGGAUGAGCCUGUGCGGUCCCGCCACUGUGACGGAUAGCAAGUCUGACGAAUGAUUAAUUUCUAUUGUUCACCCACUGAGAAAUCGGGAAGGGCAGAUGUAGCGAUGAUUCCAAAGCCAGGAGACCUGCAUAUGAUGGAGCAUUACC
Molecule: non-coding RNA, 211 nt
Filed under: Clostridiales bacterium
Lineage: Bacteria; Bacillati; Bacillota; Clostridia; Eubacteriales
Source: RNAcentral